AAGUCGUAACAAGGUUUCCGUAGGUGAACCUGCGGAAGGAUCAUUAACACGUGAAUACUCACGUUUUAACACUCACCGAGAACUGUUGUAUCCCCUGUUGUAGAACAUAGGUGGUCUGGGAGCGGAAUGGUGUGAGGUAUUCUUAACUGAGUAUGCUCUUCAUCCUGGACCUACGAUAGUGCGACUAUCAGCCAUUGCCUACAAACAGAAGAUGAAUUGCGGCUGCUUAUUAAGCCUGCACCUUGGCUUGCAGUCCGUGGUGACCUAAUUCACCCCUUUAUUAUUUAAUUUCUGAUGUGUAUGUUUAUAAAUGAUUCCUGACUUCGGUUGGUUGAGUCGCUUAUAAAUGUCGUAUAAUACUAAUACGAAACAACUCUUAGCAACGGAUAUCUUGGUUCUC
This 400-nucleotide unclassified non-coding RNA is filed under the name fungal sp. Its description in RNAcentral is "partial internal transcribed spacer region". The stretch from base 1 to 46 matches the Rfam family "Eukaryotic small subunit ribosomal RNA", at positions 1786 to 1831 of the family's 1831-position model. Lineage: Eukaryota; Fungi. The record is from RNAcentral.